Molecule: ribosomal RNA, 403 nt
Filed under: Lacticaseibacillus rhamnosus
Lineage: Bacteria; Bacillati; Bacillota; Bacilli; Lactobacillales; Lactobacillaceae
Description: bacterial SSU rRNA
Rfam family: Bacterial small subunit ribosomal RNA
Source: RNAcentral
GGCGGACGGGUGAGCUAACACGUGGGUAACCUGCCCUUAAGUGGGGGAUAACAUUUGGAAACAGAUGCUAAUACCGCAUAAAUCCAAGAACCGCAUGGUUCUUGGCUGAAAGAUGGCGUAAGCUAUCGCUUUUGGAUGGACCCGCGGCGUAUUAGCUAGUUGGUGAGGUAACGGCUCACCAAGGCAAUGAUACGUAGCCGAACUGAGAGGUUGAUCGGCCACAUUGGGACUGAGACACGGCCCAAACUCCUACGGGAGGCAGCAGUAGGGAAUCUUCCACAAUGGACGCAAGUCUGAUGGAGCAACGCCGCGUGAGUGAAGAAGGCUUUCGGGUCGUAAAACUCUGUUGUUGGAGAAGAAUGGUCGGCAGAGUAACUGUUGUCGGCGUGACGGUAUCCAACCA